UGAAUCAUCGAAUCUCUGAACGCACAUUGCGCCCUCUAGUAUUCCGGAGGGCAUGCCUGUUUGAGCGUCGUU
Molecule: ribosomal RNA, 72 nt
Filed under: uncultured soil eukaryote
Lineage: Eukaryota
Description: partial 5.8S ribosomal RNA
Rfam family: 5.8S ribosomal RNA
About the family: 5.8S ribosomal RNA (5.8S rRNA) is a component of the large subunit of the eukaryotic ribosome.
Source: RNAcentral